AACGAACGCUGGCGGCAUGCCUAACACAUGCAAGUCGAACGAGACCUUCGGGUCUAGUGGCGCACGGGUGCGUAACGCGUGGGAACCUGCCCUUAGGUUCGGAAUAACUCCCCGAAAGGGGUGCUAAUACCGGAUAAUCUCUUCGGACCAAAGAUUUAUCGCCUUUGGAUGGGCCCGCGUUGGAUUAGCUAGUUGGUAGGGUAAAAGCCUACCAAGGCGACGAUCCAUAGCUGGUCUGAGAGGAUGAUCAGCCACACUGGGACUGAGACCCGGCCCAGACUCCUACGGGAGGGAGCAGUGGGGAAUAUUGGACGAGGGGCGAAAGCCUGACACAGCCAUGCCGCGGGAGUGAUGAAGGCGUUAGGGUUGCAAAGCUCCUUGAGCCGGGAUGAUAAUGACGGUACCGGGAAAAUAAGCACCGGCUAACUACGUG
Molecule: ribosomal RNA, 433 nt
Filed under: uncultured bacterium
Lineage: Bacteria
Description: partial 16S ribosomal RNA
Rfam family: Bacterial small subunit ribosomal RNA
Source: RNAcentral